Molecule: non-coding RNA, 216 nt
Organism: Pelobates cultripes (western spadefoot toad)
Lineage: Eukaryota; Metazoa; Chordata; Amphibia; Anura; Pelobatidae
Source: the annotation of a GenBank genome assembly
UGUGACGAGACCAAUCUCGCCACAUUGCAUUGGAGAAGCCUGGUUGCUCGCCUGCUGCCUCUGGACUAUGGCCCCCUUUUAAAAGACUUUAUUUCGCCUGGAGAAAAGCUGUAUUCGUGCUUUUCUGCCAGUUGUUCGGUAGAUUCAAUCUACCGAACAACCGCACGAAUGAAUAGACCACCUGGGAGCUGGAGUGUGCCGGCAAUUAACCUCCCU